This 550-nucleotide ribosomal RNA is filed under the name Pseudolevinseniella sp. AN-2018. RNAcentral's name for it is "bacterial SSU rRNA". It matches the Rfam family "Eukaryotic small subunit ribosomal RNA", at positions 348 to 826 of the family's 1831-position model. Lineage: Eukaryota; Metazoa; Platyhelminthes; Trematoda; Plagiorchiida; Microphallidae. The record is from RNAcentral.
GGUGAUAACGGGUAACGGGGAAUCAGGGUUCGAUUCCGGAGAGAGAGCCUGAGAAACGGCUACCACUUCCAAGGAAGGCAGCAGGCGCGCAAAUUACCCAAUCCCAGCACGGGGAGGUAGUGACGAAAAAUACGGAUACGGGACUCAGCAGAGGCUCCGUAAUUUGAAUGAGUACAACCUAAAUCCUUUAACGAGGAUCCACUGGAGGGCAAGUCUGGUGCCAGCAGCCGCGGUAACUCCAGCUCCAGAAGCGUAUAUUAAAGUUGUUGCAGUUAAAAAGCUCGUAGUUGGAUCUGGGUCGCAUGGCUACGUGCCGUCGCUUGUAUCCCUAGCCUGACUUUGUUCGGCUGGUUUGCGAGUCGGUUUCGUGGCUGUGUAGCCUUUCUGCCGUAUCUGUUCGUUCUGACAGGUGCCGAUGGUUCAUCCGUUGGUAUGCUUCCAGAUGCCUUUAACCGGGUGUCGGGGGCGGACGGCUCGUUUACUUUGAACAAAUUUGAGUGCUCAAAGCAGGCCUAUGCCUGAAAAAUCUUGCAUGGAAUAAUAGAAUAGG